GGGUUGUGAGGUUAAGCGACUAAGCGUACACGGUGGAUGCCCUGGCAGUCAGAGGCGAUGAAGGACGUGCUAAUCUGCGAAAAGCGUCGGUAAGGUGAUAUGAACCGUUAUAACCGGCGAUGUCCGAAUGGGGAAACCCAGUGCAAUUCGUUGCACUAUCGUUAACUGAAUACAUAGGUUAACGAGGCGAACCGGGGGAACUGAAAC
Molecule: ribosomal RNA, 207 nt
Filed under: Klebsiella pneumoniae
Lineage: Bacteria; Pseudomonadati; Pseudomonadota; Gammaproteobacteria; Enterobacterales; Enterobacteriaceae
Description: partial 23S ribosomal RNA
Rfam family: Bacterial large subunit ribosomal RNA
Source: RNAcentral